GUGGGGAAUCUUGCGCAAUGGGCGAAAGCCUGACGCAGCCAUGCCGCGUGGAUGAUGAAGGUCUUAGGAUUGUAAAAUCCUUUCACCGGUGAAGAUAAUGACUGUAGCCGGAGAAGAAGCCCCGGCUAACUUCGUGCCAGCAGCCGCGGUAAUACGAAGGGGGCUAGCGUUGCUCGGAUUUACUGGGCGUAAAGGGCGCGUAGGCGGACAUUUAAGUCAGGGGUGAAAUCCCGGGGCUCAACCUCGGAACUGCCUUUGAUUCUGGGUGUCUUGAGUAUGAGAGGGGUGUGUGGAACUCCGAGUGUAGAGGUGAAAUUCGUAGAUAUUCGGAAGAACACCAGUGGCGAAGGCGACACACUGGCUCAUUACUGACGCUGAGGCGCGAAAGCGUGGGGAGCAAACAGGAUUAGAAACCCUGGUAGUCC
Molecule: ribosomal RNA, 425 nt
Filed under: uncultured bacterium
Lineage: Bacteria
Description: partial 16S ribosomal RNA
Rfam family: Bacterial small subunit ribosomal RNA
Source: RNAcentral